UACGGGGGAUGCAAGCGUUAUCCGGAUUUAUUGGGUUUAAAGGGUGCGCAGGCGGAUUUUUAAGUCAGCGGUCAAAUCGUGGGGCUCAACCCCAUCCAGCCGUUGAAACUGGGGAUCUAGAGUGUGCGAGAGGUAUGCGGAAUGCGUGGUGUAGCGGUGAAAUGCAUAGAUAUCACGCAGAACUCCGAUCGCGAAGGCAGCCUACCGGCGCGCAACUGACGCUCAUGCACGAAAGCGUGGGUAUCGAACAGG
RNAcentral lists this ribosomal RNA (252 nucleotides) under uncultured Bacteroidales bacterium. RNAcentral's name for it is "partial 16S ribosomal RNA". It matches the Rfam family "Bacterial small subunit ribosomal RNA", at positions 524 to 776 of the family's 1533-position model. The record is from RNAcentral. Lineage: Bacteria; Pseudomonadati; Bacteroidota; Bacteroidia; Bacteroidales.